RNAcentral lists this ribosomal RNA (264 nucleotides) under uncultured bacterium. RNAcentral describes it as "partial 16S ribosomal RNA". It matches the Rfam family "Bacterial small subunit ribosomal RNA", at positions 89 to 354 of the family's 1533-position model. The record is from RNAcentral.
UGGCGACCGGCGCACGGGUGAGUAACACGUAUCCAACCUGCCGAUGACUCGGGGAUAGCCUUUCGAAAGAAAGAUUAAUACCCGAUGGCAUAGUUCUUCCGCAUGGUAGAACUAUUAAAGAAUUUCGGUCAUCGAUGGGGAUGCGUUCCAUUAGCUUGUUGGCGGGGUAACGGCCUACCAAGGCAUCGAUGGAUAGGGGUUCUGAGAGGAAGGUCCCCCACAUUGGAACUGAGACACGGUCCAAACUCCUACGGGAGGCAGCAG